AAGCCCAGCAAUUCCUGGGACCGAGGCCAGAGAGAAGUUUCUUCCACGGGUCCGCUGGCCCCAUGCCGAUGACUCACAAGCUGCACCCUCAACGUUAGCCCUCCUGCGGGGAAAUUAACAGGUUUCCUAGGAUUUUCUGUAAUAGCAUCCCACAGGAUUCGGUGGACGGCACUGUGCCAAAGUCAACUUUUUGUGGGGGAGGAGAUUUUAACAUUUCUGGUUUACGUAUGAGUAUAUUGCUACUUUUAAGUGAACCUAAUUGGGUCAUGAAAGCGGGACCUGGCAAUGACUGGUUAUCAGUAGAUACCAAUACCAACAGCAUUUUCUUGGGUAAUUACUAUGACACAAACUGUGUGCUAACCCAUUUUUUACAUAUAACAAGGUGGGUAUAUUAUUUUCUCUCUUUUACAAUGGAAGAAAUAGACCUAAAAGGAUGAUUGUAACUUGCCCAAAUGUGUGCCAUAAAUGGCCAAAAAGGCCAAGUGCCCCUGGCCGUCUGACCCCAGCCCACACCUAACCCCCUCUACACAUCAUCCCCUGUGGCAACGGCUUCCCAAUCUUUUUGACUGAGACUCACAUGUAGGUCAUUAGAUAUAAAACUAACACAGCUGUGUCACAAAUAGUCCCGAUCCUCACUAUUUAGUUGAGCAUCAAUAUUUUCUAUUUUAUUUUACUUUAAAAGAAUGCUGGUCAGAGACCCACUAAGUUGAUUUCGCAACCUCCUAGUAGGUCACAAUUCUCCAGUUUGAAAAACACUACACCACUGCCUCAUAGUGUAAACAAACGAAGAUUUAAGGAGCCACAGCCUACGCUGUGGAUUAGCUCUUCCAAUCCCAGUGCCCUCCUCCCUCCCUUGCCUGCCUUCACUAAAGCAUCCAGAAAAGCCAAAUGCUCUUUUCUCUGCCUCCCAGGCCAUGGGACAUAGCUCUGGUCACUGAGAUGAAAGCUGACAGAAGGACUUCAGAAAAAGCUUUGGCUUUCUGGAUAAAAAGCCCCUUUCCCCUGGCUUCCUGCCUUGAAUAAAGAUGUGACGCCAGGAACUCAGGCAGCCUUCUUGUAAUCAUGAGAUAAAAGCCAAGAGAACCAGGGAAAGGCUGGCACCAAGCUCACAGAGCUGCUAAAUCAGCAUCAGCAGCCACCCUUCUUGUUAUGUAAGAGAAGUGAACCCCUAUUUGUUUCACCACACGUAGGUUUUCUAUUAUUUGCAGCUGAAAACAUUCCUAACUAAUAACAUAAUAACCAAAAACCCCCAAACCUCAAACAGGUAGGUCCUCCUGUGUUAAACCCUGUGCUUCAUUGUCUGGUGAGCAAUAAAGACACUUGCACUUGGAAAUACUAAAAUAGAUUUUAAAAAACCAACCUAUUAAAUAGUUCAUCUAUUUAAGGUCGUAGUUCG
RNAcentral lists this long non-coding RNA (1396 nucleotides) under Homo sapiens (human). RNAcentral describes it as "HSALNT0130825". Lineage: Eukaryota; Metazoa; Chordata; Mammalia; Primates; Hominidae. The record is from RNAcentral.